GUCUACGGCCAUGCCACCCUGAACAUGCCCGAUCCAGGCUGAUCUCAGAAGCUAAGCAGGGUUGGGCCUGGUUAAUACUUGGAUGGGAGACCACCUAGGAAGACCAGGUGCUAUAGGCG
This 119-nucleotide ribosomal RNA is filed under the name Pteropus alecto (black flying fox). Lineage: Eukaryota; Metazoa; Chordata; Mammalia; Chiroptera; Pteropodidae. The record is from RNAcentral.